ACAAAAGUAGGGAAAUGUGUGAGCCAGCUGCCAAGAAAAGCCGCUAUUGUUUGUACUGUACCCGUACCGUAAACCGACACAGGUAGGUGAGGAGAGAAUCCUAAGGCCGACGGGAGAAGCAUAGUUAAGGAACUCGGCAAAAUGACUCCGUAACUUCGGGAGAAGGAGUGCCAGUGAGAGCUGGCCGCAGAGAGUUGGCCCAAGCAACUGUUUAGCAAAAACACAGGUCUAUGCAAAACCGUAAGGUGAAGUAUAUGGGCUGACGCCUGCCCGGUGCUGGAAGGUUAAGGGGAGAGGUUAGCGCAAGCGAAGCUUUGAACUUAAGCCCCAGUAAACGGCGGCCGUAACAAUAACGGUCCUAAGGUAGCGAAAUUCCUUGUCGGGUAAGUUCCGACCCGCACGAAAGGCGUAAUGAUAUGGGCACUGUCUCAACAAUGCACCCGGUGAAAUUGAAAUACCAGUGAAGAUGCUGGUUACCUGCGCCAGGACGGAAAGACCCCAUGGAGCUUUACUCCAGCUUGAUACUGGGAUUCGAUAUUGUAUGUACAGGAUAGGUGGGAGGCGAAGAAGCAUUGACGCCAGUUGAUGCGGAGCCGCUGUUGGGAUACCACCCUUGCAGUAUUGGAUUUCUAACCAGCAGCCGUGACCCGGCUGGGGGACAAUGUCAGGUGGGGAGUUUGACUGGGGCGGUCGCCUCCGAAAGGGUAUCGGAGGCGCUCAAAGGUUCCCUCAGAAUGGUUGGAAACCAUUCGAAGAGUGCAAAGGCAGAAGGGAGCUUGACUGCGACACCGACGGGUGGAGCAGGUACGAAAGUAGGACUUAGUGAUCCGGUGGUAUAAAGUGGGAUUGCCAUCGCUCAACGGAUAAAAGCUACCCUGGGAUAACGGCUUAUCACUCCCAAGAGUUCACAUCGACGGAGUGGUUUGGCACCUCGAUGUCGGCUCAUCGCAUCCUGGGGCUGAAGUAGGUCCCAAGGGUUGGGCUGUUCGCCCAUUAAAGCGGUACGCGAGCUGGGUUCAGAACGUCGUGAGACAGUUCGGUCCCUAUCCGGCGUGGGCGUAGGAUAUUUGAGAGGAGCUGGCCUUAGUACGAGAGGACCGGGCUGGACUGACCGCUGGUGUAUCUGUUGUUCCGCCAGGAGCAUGGCAGAGUAGCCAAGUCAGGAAGGGAUAAACGCUGAAGGCAUCUAAGCGUGAAGCCCCCCUCAAGAUGAGAUAUCCCAACGCAAGUUGUAAGACCCCUUGAAGACGACAAGGUAGAUAGGGCAGAGGUGGAAGUGCAGUAAUGCAUGGAGCUGACUGUUACUAAUCGGUCGAGGGCAUAACCG
This 1327-nucleotide ribosomal RNA is filed under the name metagenome. Its description in RNAcentral is "bacterial LSU rRNA". It matches the Rfam family "Bacterial large subunit ribosomal RNA", at positions 1576 to 2925 of the family's 2925-position model. The record is from RNAcentral.